UCUCCCUGAAAACCACUCCUUCCUCUCUCUCUCUCUCUCUCUCAGAACCUCUCCUUCCUUCUCCCUCCCCCUCCCGCUCUCUCUUAAAACCUCUGUCUCUCUCUCGUCGCCAUUGGAGGAAUGUAGGCGUACCAUAGACAAUGGAACCGAUCCUCUACGGUUAGGAUCGACCCUCACCACGAAGGGCGUGGGGCAUCUUGUUUAGGAGAGGUACCGGCAGAGGGUCAUCUGUUAGGUACGACAGUCUACUACAUUUUGUCAAUGAAAUCCCCCUUUGAAUCUACAAAUGUUUGCUGAAUCCACGAACCCGUGUGGGGCCCUGCCCUCUCACUCAAACACACGCCAAUUGGAUGCACAUGUGCGAGAAUCGAGACUUCCAUCAGUGGCAUUAUUGCGACUUUGUUUGGAACUUUGGAGCUACUGGGUGUCUGAGUCAUUAUGUUGUACAACAGCUUGGCAAGUGCACCAUUAUAAAAACAAAGAAAAAAAGAUUAAAAUAUUAUGGUUUUGUCAACAUGUUGCAGAGAUGACAACAAACCUGCUCUAAGACCAGGUUCUAAGGAUACUUGCUGAUUAUUACCAAAAUUUCUUUAAUUUUGGGUUUCAUUUUGUUUUGUUUUGUUUUUUUCAUUUGUUUGUUUGGUUUUUUUUUUUUCCUGGAUUUCUUUGUGACAUGCUUGCUUUUCUCGAUAUUGUAGAAAAUUAUUCGUACUUCAAAUGAUGACCAAAUAUUUGCUUGUAGUGCGUCCACUUUCUUUUUUGCAAUUUUUUUUUUUCUGUCAUUGAGUUAUGAAAGUUGAAUUAAAAGAGUAGGGAAAAAAGGAAAUUGUUUUGCUAUAUAAGAUUAAAAAAAAUGCAAGAAAAGGGCUUUGAAGAGCUUUGAAGCUUGGUGUUUUUACUUGCCAAACUUGAUGGUUUUUUGGAGUUUGGUACUCCUUCUGUGGGAAUUAGUUUCACAGACCUAACUAGGUGCUACUGACACUUAAGACUUGUACUCCCACUCCCACUUCUGCUUCCUAACUGUUUAUACAUGCUAACAUUUAUUUUUUUUGAAAGAUAACAAAAAAUGUAUUUUCAACCCACAAAACAAGGAAAGAAUACAAUGGAAAGGGCGCAACCCCGCACAGCCAAGGACAUUGGAAAGACGAGCCUAAACAAAAGUGGCCCGACCGGAAACCAUCCCUUUAACCCAACUUAUGACAUCCUCAACUCCCAUCUUCUCAUUCCAAAAAGAACGACCAUUCUUAAUUAGGGUUGUACACGAACUGAGUUAGCUCGGUUAGCUCGCU
Long non-coding RNA from Magnolia sinica, 1289 nucleotides. RefSeq lists it as uncharacterized. The transcript is spliced from 4 exons. The record is from RefSeq and is a predicted model, not a curated record. NCBI's taxonomy places the organism in Eukaryota, Viridiplantae, Streptophyta, Magnoliopsida, Magnoliales, Magnoliaceae.